AUUUAGGCAAAAAGUCAUUUUCGGUUUUCGUCCAAGGGCAUCCUGAAUUUUCGGUUUCGGCCCAGAAUUUUCAUAUCGAUGUAUACCUAAGUGUAGUUCUUUCGCCCUCUUUUUUUAAGUCCUCUAUAUCAGAGCAAUUUCUUCUGAGGCGUAUAUAUUGGCCAAUAGGAAUACCUCUUCCUAAACUGACUCAAUUUUUCAGGAUGGUACCGUAAAUUUUUCCCCAAAAGUGGCUGAAAGAAGUACAAAGGGUUUUUAAUCAAUAUAUAUGGUUUCAUAAAAAGCCUAGAAUUGCAUUAUCCAUCCUUUCAAGGAAUGCAACAAUAGGAGGCAUUAAUUUGCCUUUGGUUAACCGAUAUCAUGAUGCAUCUAUGAUUCUGCAUUUAAAAAAAAUGGUGUGAUCAAAAAUUGUUUUCGGAAACUUGGAAUAAAAUUGAAGCAUCUACAUUCCUUUACUUUUUUGCAAAUGUUUCUGAGUUUUAUAUGCUCUUCAAGUUUGCCUUUUCCCUCCCUUUUUUUUGUUAAUGUCUUGCAAAGUAAAAUACCAGCUGGCACACUCCACCCACACAACCGUACAAGAGAGGUGUCAGAGACUCAACUGCCC
This is a non-coding RNA of Pelobates cultripes (western spadefoot toad), 604 nucleotides long. NCBI's taxonomy places the organism in Eukaryota, Metazoa, Chordata, Amphibia, Anura, Pelobatidae. The record is from the annotation of a GenBank genome assembly.